CCCCUAGAUGUUCUGGGCCGCACGCGCGCUACACUGAACAGUUCAACAAGUCUUAACCUUGGCCGAUAGGUCUGGGUAAUCUUUGAACGCUGUUCGUGAUUGGGAUAGACCUUUGCAAUUAUGGGUCUUCAACGAGGAAUUCCUAGUAAACGCAAGUCAUCAGCUUGCAUUGAUUACGUCCCUGCCCUUUGUACACACCGCCCGUCGCUACUACCGAUUGAAUGGCUUAGUGAGUUGUUCGGAUUGUGUUUGUCUGUUGGGUUUCCUUCAGGCAUUCUGCGAGAAGAACUGCAAACUUGGUCAUUUAGAGGAAGUAAAAGUCGUAACA
RNAcentral lists this ribosomal RNA (328 nucleotides) under uncultured eukaryote. Its description in RNAcentral is "partial 18S ribosomal RNA". It matches the Rfam family "Eukaryotic small subunit ribosomal RNA", at positions 1470 to 1796 of the family's 1831-position model. The record is from RNAcentral.